CAGCUGAUAUUGGAUUCUUUGUGCGAGGAGGAGUUGAAGUGCUUGACGGAAUUACCUAUAUCUACAACAGUAAUGAAAACAAUUGUCAUUUCGGCACAAAUUUUGAGUCCACAACAGCCUGGGAAGUAGAAAAAGAUUGUUUGCCCCUACAAAGAUCAUAUGCUAGUAUGACAAGGCUGGGAAAUGUUAUUCUAAUGGCUGGUGGCUUCACCACUACAGACUUGGAUGUAAUUGAUCGUUACAAUGUCAGCACCAACACCUGGACAACUUUAACCAACAAACUAAGUUUUCCAAGACAACGACACUGUUCUGUAGCAA
Eurytemora carolleeae is the source of this 318-nucleotide long non-coding RNA. RefSeq lists it as uncharacterized. NCBI's taxonomy places the organism in Eukaryota, Metazoa, Arthropoda, Copepoda, Calanoida, Temoridae. The record is from RefSeq and is a predicted model, not a curated record. The transcript is spliced from 4 exons.